Molecule: ribosomal RNA, 239 nt
Filed under: uncultured bacterium
Lineage: Bacteria
Description: partial 16S ribosomal RNA
Rfam family: Bacterial small subunit ribosomal RNA
Source: RNAcentral
CGUGAGUAACCUGCCCUGGAGUGGGGAAUAACAGCUGGAAACAGCUGCUAAUACCGCAUAAUGCAGUUGGGCCGCAUGGCUCUGACUGCCAAAGAUUUAUCGCUCUGGGAUGGACUCGCGUCUGAUUAGCUAGUUGGUGGGGCAACGGCCCACCAAGGCGACGAUCAGUAGCCGGACUGAGAGGUUGGCCGGCCACAUUGGGACUGAGACACGGCCCAGACUCCUACGGAAGGCAGCAG